RNAcentral lists this long non-coding RNA (1647 nucleotides) under Macaca mulatta (Rhesus monkey). Its description in RNAcentral is "lncRNA (ENSMMUG00000053201.1)". The record is from RNAcentral. Lineage: Eukaryota; Metazoa; Chordata; Mammalia; Primates; Cercopithecidae.
GGACUUGGUCUGCAUAAGUGGGAAUUCUCAUUCAGAUUUGACCAAACCAGGUGGAGUUGGUGAAAUCCAAUGGGAACAGGAGUGAAAGGCCAAAACAAGAACAAGAAAAACAAGCAAUACGAUUACUGAGCACUCUAAUGGUUUUUAAAAAUUAUUUAUAGACCCUUUUGUAAUAAUCUACUUGCUAUGUGACUUGGAAGCUUGAAAGAAACACUGCUGUGACCACUCAAUCUCCUUCACAAGUUUUUUAGGACCAACAGUCCCGUAGAUUCUCAAUGUUUGGUAAGAGACAUGCUUAGAUUGUGCUGUUCCUACAACGCGAAGCCAGAUAAAACUUUGACCAACUUCAGAAAAACUGAGUUUACAGUUGGAUCUUCUCUAUGUAUUUGAAAAAUAAAAUAAGUGGAGAAUUUAAAGUGAUGCCCUCAUGGUAAAAACUUGGGAGAUGACAGAGAAAAAAGGCAAGUUCUGACUGGAGAACUGAAAUUCUAGCAAGUUCCAAUAAAUUCUCUCAAAGCUUUAAUAAUUCACAGUCAAAAAUUAAAGAGCAGGUAAGAAUGCAAAGCACCAUGAGCGAAAGCCAGAGAAAAACAAAACAAAACAACGACGACAACAAAAAAGAACAAAAAUAGGAGCAAAAAUCUCCAGGCAAAAUUAGAAGAUAUUGGACAAAUGAGAUAAUGGACAGAAAUUAAUUAUAUUUUAUAUGCUUAAAGAAAUAAUGUGCCUAAAAAUAAAAAAGAAUGUACACAGUUUUUGAAAAAUCAAUUUUCAAAAUGAACCAAUUAGAAUUUUCAGAACUCAGUAAGUUAUGAGGAUAUGUAGACAGUAUAAAAAGACUUAAAAAUUCAGAAUAAUUCAGAGAAAGAAAAUGAACUACAUACAAAUACUUUUUAGACUUAUAAUUUCCUUAUAAAUAAAAAAUGCAUGUCAAAGGUCAAUAAAAUGCUGCCUUCCAUGUGCUGAGUAAAAAUAACUUUCAGUCUGGAAAUAUAAAUGAGCAAAAAAUAUUUCAGGAUUAGUAGCAAUACAAACACAUUUUCGAAUUGUAAGAAGUAGAAUGAAGGAAAACUGUACAACUCACAUUAAUGGAAAUGUUAAAAGGUAUUCUUAAAUAAAAAAUGAAAAUAAAACCAAGUGAAACUUCUGAGUUUAUAAAUAUGUGGGGAAUUCUAAAUAAAGAUUAUGGAAAAAACAUAGUGAAUUUUAGUUUUUGAGUAAAAGUAAGAAAACAGAAACAGUGUAUAACUUAAGAGUGGAAAGGAAGGACACAGGAGAAAAGAUUCUACUGAUGAUUGGGAAGAAGGAUAAUUUCUUUUUCACUGUAAAUGCCAUUUAUUUUUUUCCAGCCAACUAGUCUUUCUAUUACUUCCAGCUCAAUGUCGACUAAAACAAUAAUAGCAGAUAUCUUCCCCUUCCCUUAGUAUCAACCUGUUUGUUGUUAACUAACUUGUCUUUUAAAUUGUCACAUAAUGAGAAAAAUGAACAUUUAAAAAAUAUUUUUACUUUAAUUUUUUGUAUGCUUAACCUUUUAAAUUUGGGGGCAUAAUAAACCAAAUAUAUGUUUCUUCCUUAAAUUUUAAAAUCAACAAAUAAUUUUAUAAAUAAUUCAAUGUUUGGUAAGCAUAUGAAAGUACACACAAAGGU